RNAcentral lists this ribosomal RNA (249 nucleotides) under uncultured bacterium. RNAcentral's name for it is "partial 16S ribosomal RNA". It matches the Rfam family "Bacterial small subunit ribosomal RNA", at positions 559 to 793 of the family's 1533-position model. The record is from RNAcentral.
CGUAAAGACGCAUGCAGGCGGCCGCGUUAAGUCAGAUGUGAAAGACCCGGGGCGUUAACCUUACCGGAAUUAGCAUUUGUAAACUAGGCAGGCUAGAGUCUUGUAGAGGGGGGUAGGAAGUUUCAGGUGUAGCGGUGAAAUAGCGUAGAGAUCUGAAGGAAUACCAGUGGCGAAGGCGGCCCCCUCGGACAAAGACUGACGCUCAGAUGCGAAAGCGUGGGGAGCAAACAGGAUUAGAUACCCUGGUAG